RNAcentral lists this ribosomal RNA (393 nucleotides) under uncultured bacterium. RNAcentral's name for it is "partial 16S ribosomal RNA". It matches the Rfam family "Bacterial small subunit ribosomal RNA", at positions 523 to 918 of the family's 1533-position model. The record is from RNAcentral.
AUACGGAGGAUCCGAGCGUUAUCCGGAUUUAUUGGGUUUAAAGGGUGCGCAGGCGGGAGAUUAAGUCGGCGGUGAAAUUUUGCAGCUCAACUGUAAAAGUGCCUUCGAAACUGGUUUCCUUGAGUGUAGAUGAAGUAGGCGGAAUUUGUGGUGUAGCGGUGAAAUGCAUAGAUAUCACGAGGAACUCCGAUUGCGCAGGCAGCUUACUAAGCUACUACUGACGCUCAGGCACGAAGGCGUGGGGAUCAAACAGGAUUAGAUACCCUGGUAGUCCACGCAGUAAACGAUGAUUACUAGCUGUUUGCGAUACAAUGUAAGCGGCUGAGCGAAAGCGUUAAGUAAUCCACCUGGGGAGUACGGUCGCAAGAAUGAAACUCAAAGGAAUUGACGGGG